Molecule: ribosomal RNA, 253 nt
Filed under: uncultured bacterium
Lineage: Bacteria
Description: partial 16S ribosomal RNA
Rfam family: Bacterial small subunit ribosomal RNA
Source: RNAcentral
UACAGAGGGUGCGAGCGUUAAUCGGAAUUACUGGGCGUAAAGCGCGCGUAGGCGGCUUCGCAAGUCGGGUGUGAAAUCCCCAGGCUUAACCUGGGAACUGCAUUCGAGACUGCGUUGCUAGAGUAUGGGAGAGGGAAGUGGAAUUUCAGGUGUAGCGGUGAAAUGCGUAGAUAUCUGAAGGAACAUCAGUGGCGAAAGCGACUUCCUGGACCAAUACUGACGCUCAUGUGCGAAAGCGUGGGGAGCAAACAGG